CAGAAGAUAAUUUAACUAAAAUGCUGGUUUUGGGGGCCAGUUUUGGGCUCAGCCCUCUUUUGA
This 63-nucleotide transfer RNA is filed under the name Agama impalearis. RNAcentral's name for it is "tRNA-Pro". The record is from RNAcentral. Lineage: Eukaryota; Metazoa; Chordata; Lepidosauria; Squamata; Agamidae.